Molecule: long non-coding RNA, 769 nt
Organism: Papaver somniferum (opium poppy)
Lineage: Eukaryota; Viridiplantae; Streptophyta; Magnoliopsida; Ranunculales; Papaveraceae
Exons: 4
Source: RefSeq, a predicted model, not a curated record
GUUUUUAAGGAUUCCGUUGUUGAUUCACAUAUCAAUCUUCUGCCAGAUGUUGUUGGAAGGUGCAUGCAUUUUCUUAUCACCCUGGAAUUAUUACCUCGUGCACUUUUAAUUUGUCAGACAAUCCAAGAUGUUAAUAUUAAUUUGAUGAUGAUCAUAAAACGGCGAGCUUGCUGCAAAGGAUUCGAUCGUACACAGUUACGUCAACAACUUUAAUGCAUUCGACACAAAGUUAUCACCUGACGAAGCUAAGCAACUAGAAAGCAUGUUCGAGAGGUGUUGUUUCGGUGUUUCCUAAUCAAUAAAGAAAACUUCAUACAACAAAAACAUGGGAUUUCUCGGGAUUUCCUCAAAAUGUUAAAAGAAAAGCGAAACUGGAGAGCAACUUAGUUGCGGGAUUAAUAGAUACAGGGAUUACACUGGUAUCUGAGAGCGUUAAUGACAAAGGGUUUGGUCCUCCACCAGCUAAAUGGAAGGGAUCUUGCGGCCCUUAUGCCAAUUUUUCUUGCAACAACGUCACUUGGUCUUAUCAACACUUAUGACACCACAAGUGCUGCUGACAUGGAUUAGAAGAUCAAAAUUCAAGACUACUGCAGCACUAGCUGCACUGCUAGUUGUUCUUUUUUCAGAUUUUCUCAUUUUCAAGACUUAGUGUGUUUGUGUGUGGCUACUGCUACUUUUUUUUUCCAGAUUUUCAAGACAUUGUUUGUUUGGUUUGUUAGUAAUAUUGCUACUUAUUAGUUGCUGCUUUGAAUGAGAAUUUGUUAUAUAG